Molecule: long non-coding RNA, 1000 nt
Organism: Oncorhynchus keta (chum salmon)
Lineage: Eukaryota; Metazoa; Chordata; Actinopteri; Salmoniformes; Salmonidae
Exons: 3
Source: RefSeq, a predicted model, not a curated record
AAUCUUUAACUCUGCCACUCAGGAACAUUCACUGUCUUCUUGGUAAGCAACUCCAGUGUAGAUGUGGCCUUGUGUUCUAGGUUAUUGUCCUGCUGAAAGGUGAAUUCAUCUCCCAGUGUAGAUGUGUUCUAGGUUAUUGUCCUGCUGAAAGGUGAAUUCAUCUCCCAGUGUAGAUGUGUUCUAGGUUAUUGUCCUGCUGAAAGGUGAAUUCAUCUCCCAGUGUAGAUGUGUUCUAGGUUAUUGUCCUACUGAAAGGUGAAUUCAUCUCCCAGUGUAGAUGUGUUCUAGGUUAUUGUCCUGCUGAAAGGUGAAUUCAUCUCCCAGUGUAGAUGUGUUCUAGGUUAUUGUCCUGCUGAAAGGUGAAUUCAUCUCCCAGUGUAGAUGUGUUCUAGGUUAUUGUCCUGCUGAAAGGUGAAUUCAUCUCCCAGUGUAGAUGUGUUCUAGGUUAUUGUCCUGCUGAAAGGUGAAUUCAUCUCCCAGUGUAGAUGUGUUCUAGGUUAUUGUCCUGCUGAAAGGUGAAUUCAUCUCCCAGUGUAGAUGUGUUCUAGGUUAUUGUCCUGCUGAAAGGUGAAUUCAUCUCCCAGUGUAGAUGUGUUCUAGGUUAUUGUCCUGCUGAAAGGUGAAUUCAUCUCCCAGUGUAGAUGUGUUCUAGGUUAUUGUCCUGCUGAAAGGUGAAUUCAUCUCCCAGUGUAGAUGUGUUCUAGGUUAUUGUCCUGCUGAAAGGUGAAUUCAUCUCCCAGUGUAGAUGUGUUCUAGGUUAUUGUCCUGUUGAAAGGUGAAUUCAUCUCCCAGUGUAGAUGUGUUCUAGGUUAUUGUCCUGCUGAAAGGUGAAUUCAUCUCCCAGUGUAGAUGUGUUGUAGGUUAUUGUCCUGCUGAAAGGUGAAUUCAUCUCCCAGUGUAGAUGUGUUCUAGGUUAUUGUCCUGCUGAAAGGUGAAUUCAUCUCCCAGUGUAGAUGUGUUCUAGGUUAUUGUCCUGCUGAAAGGUGAAUUCAUCUCCCAG